RNAcentral lists this ribosomal RNA (464 nucleotides) under uncultured bacterium. Its description in RNAcentral is "bacterial SSU rRNA". It matches the Rfam family "Bacterial small subunit ribosomal RNA", at positions 338 to 795 of the family's 1533-position model. The record is from RNAcentral.
CCUANGGGGGCAGCAGUGGGGAAUUUUGGACAAUGGGGGAAACCCUGAUCCAGCCAUUCCGCGUGAGUGAAGAAGGCCUUCGGGUUGUAAAGCUCUUUCAGGAGGGAAGAAACGGUUUUGGAUAAUACCUGAGACUAAUGACGGUACCUUCAGAAGAAGCACCGGCUAACUACGUGCCAGCAGCCGCGGUAAUACGUAGGGUGCGAGCGUUAAUCGGAAUUACUGGGCGUAAAGCGUGCGCAGGCGGUUUUGUAAGUCAGAUGUGAAAGCCCCGGGCUCAACCUGGGAACUGCGUUUGAAACUACAAGGCUAGAGUGUAGCAGAGGGGGGUAGAAUUCCACGUGUAGCAGUGAAAUGCGUAGAGAUGUGGAGGAAUACCGAUGGCGAAGGCAGCCCCCUGGGUUAACACUGACGCUCAUGUACGAAAGCGUGGGGAGCAAACAGGAUUAGAUACCCUANUANUC